UACGUAGGGUGCAAGCGUUGCCCGGAAUUACUGGGCGUAAAGAGCUCGUAGGUGGUUUGUCGCGUUGUCCGUGAAAACUCACAACUCAAUUGUGGGCGUGCGGGCGAUACGGGCAGACUGGAGUACUGCAGGGGAGACUGGAAUUCCUGGUGUAGCGGUGGAAUGCGCAGAUAUCAGGAGGAACACCGGUGGCGAAGGCGGGUCUCUGGGCAGUAACUGACGCUGAGGAGCGAAAGCGUGGGGAGCGAACAGG
Molecule: ribosomal RNA, 253 nt
Filed under: uncultured bacterium
Lineage: Bacteria
Description: partial 16S ribosomal RNA
Rfam family: Bacterial small subunit ribosomal RNA
Source: RNAcentral